GAUGAACGCUGGCGGCGUGCCUAAUACAUGCAAGUCGAGCGAACGGACGAGAAGCUUGCUUCUCUGAUGUUAGCGGCGGACGGGUGAGUAACACGUGGAUAACCUACCUAUAAGACUGGGAUAACUUCGGGAAACCGGAGCUAAUACCGGAUAAUAUUUUGAACCGCAUGGUUCAAAAGUGAAAGACGGUCUUGCUGUCACUUAUAGAUGGAUCCGCGCUGCAUUAGCUAGUUGGUAAGGUAACGGCUUACCAAGGCAACGAUGCAUAGCCGACCUGAGAGGGUGAUCGGCCACACUGGAACUGAGACACGGUCCAGACUCCUACGGGAGGCAGCAGUAGGGAAUCCUCCGCAAUGGGCGAAAGCCUGACGGAGCAACGCCGCGUGAGUGAUGAAGGUCUUCGGAUCGUAAAACUCUGUUAUUAGGGAAGAACAUAUGUGUAAGUAACUGUGCACAUCUUGACGGUACCUAAUCAGAAAGCCACGGCUAACUACGUGCCAGCAGCCGCGGUAAUACGUAGGUGGCAAGCGUUAUCCGGAAUUAUUGGGCGUAAAGCGCGCGUAGGCGGUUUUUUAAGUCUGAUGUGAAAGCCCACGGCUCAACCGUGGAGGGUCAUUGGAAACUGGAAAACUUGAGUGCAGAAGAGGAAAGUGGAAUUCCAUGUGUAGCGGUGAAAUGCGCAGAGAUAUGGAGGAACACCAGUGGCGAAGGCGACUUUCUGGUCUGUAACUGACGCUGAUGUGCGAAAGCGUGGGGAUCAAACAGGAUUAGAUACCCUGGUAGUCCACGCCGUAAACGAUGAGUGCUAAGUGUUAGGGGGUUUCCGCCCCUUAGUGCUGCAGCUAACGCAUUAAGCACUCCGCCUGGGGAGUACGACCGCAAGGUUGAAACUCAAAAGAAUUGACGGGGACCCGCACAAGCGGUGGAGCAUGUGGUUUAAUUCGAAGCAACGCGAAGAACCUUACCAAAUCUUGACAUCCUUUGACAACUCUAGAGAUAGAGCUUUCCCCUUCGGGGGACAAAGUGACAGGUGGUGCAUGGUUGUCGUCAGCUCGUGUCGUGAGAUGUUGGGUUAAGUCCCGCAACGAGCGCAACCCUUAAGCUUAGUUGCCAUCAUUAAGUUGGGCACUCUAAGUUGACUGCCGGUGACAAACCGGAGGAAGGUGGGGAUGACGUCAAAUCAUCAUGCCCCUUAUGAUUUGGGCUACACACGUGCUACAAUGGACAAUACAAAGGGCAGCGAAACCGCGAGGUCAAGCAAAUCCCAUAAAGUUGUUCUCAGUUCGGAUUGUAGUCUGCAACUCGACUACAUGAAGCUGGAAUCGCUAGUAAUCGUAGAUCAGCAUGCUACGGUGAAUACGUUCCCGGGUCU
RNAcentral lists this ribosomal RNA (1372 nucleotides) under uncultured bacterium. RNAcentral's name for it is "bacterial SSU rRNA". It matches the Rfam family "Bacterial small subunit ribosomal RNA", at positions 28 to 1381 of the family's 1533-position model. The record is from RNAcentral.